This 585-nucleotide ribosomal RNA is filed under the name uncultured archaeon. RNAcentral describes it as "bacterial SSU rRNA". It matches the Rfam family "Archaeal small subunit ribosomal RNA", at positions 249 to 836 of the family's 1478-position model. The record is from RNAcentral.
UCACCAAGCCUAUAACCGGUACGGGCCAUGAGAGUGGGAGCCCGGAGAUGGGCACUGAGACAAGGGCCCAGGCCCUACGGGGCGCAGCAGUUGCGAAACCUCCACAAUGCACGAAAGUGCGAUGGGGCUAACCCGAGUGCCGUCCGCUGAGGAGGGCUUUUCUCCGCUGUAAGGAGGCGGAGGAAUAAGGAGAGGGCAAGACUGGUGUCAGCCGCCGCGGUAAUACCAGCUCUCCGAGUGGUAGGGACGAUUAUUGGGCCUAAAGCGUUCGUAGCCGGCUUGGCAAGUCUCUCGUUAAAUCCAGUGACCUAAUCGCUGGGCUGCGGGAGAUACUGUCAGGCUUGGGAGCGGAAGAGGUCGACGGUAUUCUCGGGGUAGGGGUGAAAUCCUGUAAUCCCGGGAGGACCACCAGUGGCGAAGGCUGUCGACUAGAACGCGUCCGACGGUGAGGGACGAAAGCUGGGGGAGCGAACCGGAUUAGAUACCCGGGUAGUCCCAGCUGUAAACUAUGCGGGCUAGGUGUCAGUGUGGCUACGAGCCACUCUGGUGCCGCAGGGAAGCUCAUAAGCCCGCCGCCUGGGAAGU